GGGAACAUACCCUUUUCUACGGAAUAGCUCUGGGAAACUGGAAUUAAUACCGUAUACGCCCUACGGGGGAAAGAUUUAUCGGGGAAGGAUUGGCCCGCGUUGGAUUAGCUAGUUGGUGGGGUAAAGGCCUACCAAGGCGACGAUCCAUAGCUGGUCUGAGAGGAUGAUCAGCCACAUUGGGACUGAGACACGGCCCAAACUCCUACGGGAGGCAGCAGUGGGGAAUAUUGGACAAUGGGCGCAAGCCUGAUCCAGCCAUGCCGCGUGAGUGAUGAAGGCCUUAGGGUUGUAAAGCUCUUUCACCGAUGAAGAUAAUGACGGUAGUCGGAGAAGAAGCCCCGGCUAACUUCGUGCCAGCAGCCGCGGUAAUACGAAGGGGACUAGCGUUGUUCGGAAUUACUGGGCGUAAAGCGCACGUAGGCGGAUAUUUAAGUCAGGGGUGAAAUCCCAGAGCUCAACUCUGGAACUGCCUUUGAUACUGGGUAUCUUGAGUAUGGAAGAGGUAAGUGGAAUUGCGAGU
Molecule: ribosomal RNA, 520 nt
Filed under: uncultured bacterium
Lineage: Bacteria
Description: bacterial SSU rRNA
Rfam family: Bacterial small subunit ribosomal RNA
Source: RNAcentral